GCAUAAUUGAUGAUUUAAAGUUAAUUUAUUUAAAUAAAGUUAAAAGAAACAUCCUUUGAUACAGUAAAGGAGAUUGAAAUUUUAUUUAUCAAAAUCACUGUAGUACCGCAAGGGAAAUACUAAAGUUAAAACAAAAUAGUGAUAAAAUCACGUACCUUUUGUAUAAUGGUUUAGCUAGAUUUUAUUUUGUUAUACAAAGUUCUCGAAACUUAAUGAGCUACUUUUAAAAAUUGUGUUAGAAAAAUAAAUUAGUUGUGGCAAAAACUUUUUUAUAGAUAAAAGUAGAAAUGAAAUUUUAUUCGUAUUAAGUGAUAGCUAGUUUUCUUUAAAAGGCAUAGAAGUGCUGAUAUUUAAUGUUAUAAAUUUAAAUUAAAUUAAACUUAGUUUAUUAAAUUUUUUAGGUUUUCAAGGAUAAGCUUGAAAAUUAUAAUUAAAAUAUAUAUAAAUCUCCAUUUAAAUUUAAGCUUAAUAGUAGCUAUAAUUAAUAAAUUUGUUAUAAAUUAUUUAAUUUGAAGAGUUAAAAUAAAUAUAUAUAAAUUAAAAAGAAAGUUAUUUUAAAUUAUAUUAAAUAAUAAUAAAUGCUAAAAUGAGUAUUUUUAAAAUUUAGAUUUUUUAAUUAUUUAAAUAUUAAAAACUAAAAUAUAAAUUGUUAGCUAAUUUUUGUAAAGGAAUUCGGCAAAUAUGGUAAUUCUGCCUGUUUAUCAAAAACAUGGCUCUUUGUUUUUUCUGCAUAGAGAGUCGGACCUGCCCAGUGAUUAAAUUUUCAACGGCCGCGGUACCCUGACCGUGCAAAGGUAGCAUAAUCAUUUGCCCUAUAAUUGAGGGCUAGUAUGAAUGGUUUGACAAGAAUUACACUGUCUCUACAAAAAUUUUUAGAAUUUAUUUUUUGAGUGAAGAAACUCAAAUGCAAUUGAAAGACAAGAAGACCCUAUCGAGCUUUAAAAACAUUUAUAAAAUAAAAAAGAUUAAAAAUACUUUUGAUUAUAAAAAAUUUUGGUUGGGGCGACUAAGGAACAAUUAAAGCUUCUUAUUAGUGACAUAUUUAUAAAUUUUGAUCCAUUCCUAGUGAUUAAAAAAUUAGUUACCGUAGGGAUAACAGCAUAAUUCUUUUUGAGAGUUCAUAUCGAAAAAAGAGUUUGUGACCUCGAUGUUGGACUAGAAUAUCCUGAUAGAUGCAGAAGUCUUCAAGGGUUGGUCUGUUCGACCAUUAAAAUUCUACAUGAUCUGAGUUCAGACCGGCGUGAGCCAGGUCAGUUUCUAUCUUCAAUUAUAUUUUUAACUUUAGUACGAAAGGACCAAGUUAUAGUAAAAUUUUACAUUCAUAGAAAACUUUUAAUACCAAUAUAAAUAAUUUAAUA
RNAcentral lists this ribosomal RNA (1358 nucleotides) under Notocochlis sp. HL-2020. Its description in RNAcentral is "16S ribosomal RNA". The stretch from base 586 to 1358 matches the Rfam family "Archaeal large subunit ribosomal RNA", at positions 1423 to 2826 of the family's 2987-position model. The record is from RNAcentral. Lineage: Eukaryota; Metazoa; Mollusca; Gastropoda; Littorinimorpha; Naticidae.